AGUGAACGCUGGCGAUAGGCCUAACACAUGCAAGUCGAACGGCAGCACAGUAAGAGCUUGCUCUUACGGGUGGCGAGUGGCGGACGGGUGAGGAAUACAUCGGAAUCUACUUUUUCGUGGGGGAUAACGUAGGGAAACUUACGCUAAUACCGCAUACGACCUACGGGUGGAAGCAGGGGAUCUUCGGACCUUGCGCGAUUGAAUGAGCCGAUGUCGGAUUAGCUAGUUGGCGGGGUAAAGGCCCACCAAGGCGACGAUCCGUAGCUGGUCUGAGAGGAUGAUCAGCCACACUGGAACUGAGACACGGUCCAGACUCCUACGGGAGGCAGCAGUGGGGAAUAUUGGACAAUGGGCGCAAGCCUGAUCCAGCCAUACCGCGUGGGUGAAGAAGGCCUUCGGGUUGUAAAGCCCUUUUGUUGGGAAAGAAAAGCAGCAGGUUAAUACCCCGCUGUUCUGACGGUACCCAAAGAAUAAGCACCGGCUAACUUCGUG
Molecule: ribosomal RNA, 492 nt
Filed under: uncultured bacterium
Lineage: Bacteria
Description: partial 16S ribosomal RNA
Rfam family: Bacterial small subunit ribosomal RNA
Source: RNAcentral